AACAGAGGAUCGUAAAUGUCCAGCACCUUUGGAGGGACUUGAAUCAUCACGUAUUUGUUGCUCACGUACCGGGGGUUAGCAUCCGUCCGGACGUAUCCACGUGGAAUUGAAUGAGACACACCAAGUGAAGCAGAAAUAAAAACUUCAGUUUUGUUUGUGAUCACUGAAAAAGAAGUUUUUAAAUAAUGAAAUAUAAAACAAGGAAUAAACAUCAGACGGAGAAGAGUAAAGACAUUGGACAGAGCUUUUACUUAAAAAAUAUUCACCAAAAGUUGAAGGGGAAAUCAGAGAGGCUUGUACGCAGAUGAAGUAUAUAUUUUGUGAGGUAAUAUGCAAAAUAGAUUUUGUAUUGAUGGAAUGGGAAAAAUAAUACAAAGUUGAAAAAGGGUCACGUUUUGUGUUGGUGAGGAAUAAACGAAUAAACAAAUCCAUGGAAUAUAACUAGAAAAGAGGAAGAGAGAAAGAGACUAGUUCAUGAUGGGUAACAAGGGUUGAUGAAUAUAUAUAACACGUGAACAUGUUAAGGUAGAGGGAGAAGUAAAAUGAGACCCAAGGGGUGAUUAGCGAGACAAAAGCCUGAGCCGCUACAAGUGGAACCAAAUUGGUAGAAAAUUGAUAAUCAACCACCAAUAUAAACCUCAAAAACUAACCAACACAUUCAACAAAAAUAAAAUUUAA
This is a long non-coding RNA of Aphidius gifuensis, 678 nucleotides long. RefSeq lists it as uncharacterized. The transcript has 3 exons. NCBI's taxonomy places the organism in Eukaryota, Metazoa, Arthropoda, Insecta, Hymenoptera, Braconidae. The record is from RefSeq and is a predicted model, not a curated record.